RNAcentral lists this transfer RNA (84 nucleotides) under Nitrosomonas nitrosa. RNAcentral describes it as "Pseudo tRNA". The record is from RNAcentral. Lineage: Bacteria; Pseudomonadati; Pseudomonadota; Betaproteobacteria; Nitrosomonadales; Nitrosomonadaceae.
UCUUCGGCUAUUUGUAGGUACACACUACUGAUCUGCGGACUGUUAAUCCGCAGGUCCCAGGUUCGAGCCCUGGUCGGGGAGCCA